Molecule: ribosomal RNA, 449 nt
Filed under: uncultured bacterium
Lineage: Bacteria
Description: SSU rRNA
Rfam family: Bacterial small subunit ribosomal RNA
Source: RNAcentral
AAAGCGAACGCUGGCGGCAGGCCUAACACAUGCAAGUCGAGCGCCCGUAGCAAUACGGGAGCGGCAGACGGGAUAGUAACACGUGGGAACGCGCCCUUCGGUUCGGAAUAACUCAGGGAAACUUGAGCUAAAUACCGAAUACGCCCUUACGGGGAAAGAUUUAUUGCCGAAGGAACGGCCCGCGUCCGAUUAGCUAGUUGGUGAGGUAAUGGCUCACCAAGGCUACGAUCGGUAGCUGGUCUGAGAGGAUGACCAGCAUCACUGGGACUGAGACACGGCCCAGACUCCUACGGGAGGCAGCAGUGGGGAAUAUUGGACAAUGGGCGCAAGCCUGAUCCAGCCAUGCCGCGUGGAUGAUGAAGGCCUUAGGGUUGUAAAGUCCUUUUAACGGGGAAGAUAAUGACGGUACCCGUAGAAUAAGCCCCGGCUAACUUCGCGCCAGCAGCCGC